RNAcentral lists this ribosomal RNA (539 nucleotides) under uncultured Gammaproteobacteria bacterium. RNAcentral describes it as "bacterial SSU rRNA". It matches the Rfam family "Bacterial small subunit ribosomal RNA", at positions 812 to 1351 of the family's 1533-position model. The record is from RNAcentral. Lineage: Bacteria; Pseudomonadati; Pseudomonadota; Gammaproteobacteria.
UCGAUUUGGAGUUUGUUGCCUAGAGUGAUGGGCUCCGAAGCUAACGCGAUAAAUCGACCGCCUGGGGAGUACGGCCGCAAGGUUAAAACUCAAAUGAAUUGACGGGGGCCCGCACAAGCGGUGGAGCAUGUGGUUUAAUUCGAUGCAACGCGAAGAACCUUACCUGGUCUUGACAUCCACAGAAUCUUGCAGAGAUGCGAGAGUGCCUUCGGGAACUGUGAGACAGGUGCUGCAUGGCUGUCGUCAGCUCGUGUUGUGAAAUGUUGGGUUAAGUCCCGCAACGAGCGCAACCCUUAUCCUUUGUUGCCAUUGGUUCGGCCGGGAACUCAAAGGAGACUGCCGUUGAUAAAGCGGAGGAAGGUGGGGACGACGUCAAGUCAUCAUGGCCCUUACGACCAGGGCUACACACGUGCUACAAUGGCGUAUACAAAGGGAGGCGACCUCGCGAGAGCAAGCGGACCUCAUAAAGUACGUCUAAGUCCGGAUUGGAGUCUGCAACUCGACUCCAUGAAGUCGGAAUCGCUAGUAAUCGUGAAUCA